This 450-nucleotide ribosomal RNA is filed under the name Triticum aestivum (bread wheat). RNAcentral's name for it is "partial small subunit ribosomal RNA". Lineage: Eukaryota; Viridiplantae; Streptophyta; Magnoliopsida; Poales; Poaceae. The record is from RNAcentral.
AUGAAAGCUUCAACACCACUGCAAAUGGUACAUAGAACUGCAGAUUGUACCUCCGUCAUCCCGCCGUCCUCACCCCAUCAUUGUGCGCCCCCGCCUGUCCGCUCACGCAUUCACAUUGAGGAAGAUGAUGAGUACCUCAGCCACGCCGCCGUCCUCUCCCCGUCGUCGCGCGCCCCCGCUCGUCAUCCAUCCGCAGCUUUUCCAGUCCCGACCGCCGGAGAGUCGCGCCGCUGGGAACAAGCACCUUGCAAUCGUGGUGUGCUUCUCCGUUGGUGCUGUCGUAUAGACAUCUUGCAAGUAAGUGACCUUCAAUCCAAAUGUUAUCUUUCUCUGCACUUGAUUUCAGUUGCUUUCUUAUGGUCUCCUGAAUUACUUGGCAUGUGUCAGCCAUUCUGGAUAGGGAACGUUCUUAAGGGACAUCAUGUUCACUUGGGAUACUUACUGGAUUAA